UCGCGGGGUGGAGCAGUCUGGUAGCUCGUCGGGCUCAUAACCCGAAGGUCGCAGGUUCAAAUCCUGUCCCCGCAAU
Molecule: transfer RNA, 76 nt
Filed under: Listeria grayi
Lineage: Bacteria; Bacillati; Bacillota; Bacilli; Caryophanales; Listeriaceae
Also listed under: 5 other names
Description: tRNA-Met(cat)
Rfam family: tRNA
About the family: Transfer RNA (tRNA) molecules are approximately 80 nucleotides in length. Their secondary structure includes four short double-helical elements and three loops (D, anti-codon, and T loops).
Source: RNAcentral